UACGAAGGGGGCUAGCGUUGCUCGGAAUCACUGGGCGUAAAGAGCUCGUAGGUGGUUUGUCGCGUUGUUCGUGAAAACUCACAGCUCAACUGUGGGCGUGCGGGCGAUACGGGCAGACUGGAGUACUGCAGGGGAGACUGGAAUUCCUGGUGUAGCGGUGGAAUGCGCAGAUAUCAGGAGGAACACCGGUGGCGAAGGCGGGUCUCUGGGCAGUAACUGACGCUGAGGAGCGAAAGCGUGGGGAGCGAACAGG
RNAcentral lists this ribosomal RNA (253 nucleotides) under uncultured bacterium. RNAcentral describes it as "partial 16S ribosomal RNA". It matches the Rfam family "Bacterial small subunit ribosomal RNA", at positions 524 to 776 of the family's 1533-position model. The record is from RNAcentral.